UACGUAGGGGGCAAGCGUUGUUCGGAAUUACUGGGCGUAAAGGGCGCGUAGGCGGCACAGCAAGUCGGGAGUGAAAGCCCGGGGCUCAACCCCGGAAUGGCUUUCGAAACUGCUGAGCUAGAGUACAGAAGGGGCAACCGGAAUUCCCAGUGUAGCGGUGAAAUGCGUAGAUAUUGGGAAGAACACCUGAGGCGAAGGCGGGUUGCUGGGCUGAUACUGACGCUGAGGCGCGAAAGUGUGGGGAGCGAACAGG
This 253-nucleotide ribosomal RNA is filed under the name uncultured bacterium. Its description in RNAcentral is "partial 16S ribosomal RNA". It matches the Rfam family "Bacterial small subunit ribosomal RNA", at positions 524 to 776 of the family's 1533-position model. The record is from RNAcentral.